This 238-nucleotide unclassified non-coding RNA is filed under the name Hevea brasiliensis (rubber tree). The record is from RNAcentral. Lineage: Eukaryota; Viridiplantae; Streptophyta; Magnoliopsida; Malpighiales; Euphorbiaceae.
GUCACAUUUUUGUAGAUUCAAUACCUAAAGUGCAGUGUAUAUUGUCUUUAUCGAGAAGAUAAUUGGGCCUCAUCCUAAUUAUGAUUUGAUUUGUUCUGGAAUCGAUUCGGACUGUUCUUCACACUGUUUCAGACGUUACAGUUUGCUGAUUUGGAGGUAUUAUUGUCUCGGUAAACUCGUUGAGCUUUUAUAUUUCACUGCUUCUAAACAAUGGGGAAGAACAGGGAAGUAAUUCGGC